RNAcentral lists this ribosomal RNA (1000 nucleotides) under Nonomuraea sp. ZZY-2013. RNAcentral's name for it is "bacterial SSU rRNA". It matches the Rfam family "Bacterial small subunit ribosomal RNA", at positions 35 to 1060 of the family's 1533-position model. Lineage: Bacteria; Bacillati; Actinomycetota; Actinomycetes; Streptosporangiales; Streptosporangiaceae. The record is from RNAcentral.
GUGAGUGCGGGUCUUACCAUUACAGUCGAGCGGAAGGCCCUUCGGGGUACUCGAGCGGCGAACGGGUGAGUAACACGUGAGUAACCUGCCCCUGACUCUGGGAUAAGCCCGGGAAACUGGGUCUAAUACCGGAUACGACCGGCUCUCGCAUGAGAUGCUGGUGGAAAGUCUUUUCGGUUGGGGAUGGACUCGCGGCCUAUCAGCUUGUUGGUGGGGUAGUGGCCUACCAAGGCGACGACGGGUAGCCGGCCUGAGAGGGCGACCGGCCACACUGGGACUGAGACACGGCCCAGACUCCUACGGGAGGCAGCAGUGGGGAAUAUUGCGCAAUGGGCGAAAGCCUGACGCAGCGACGCCGCGUGGGGGAUGACGGCCUUCGGGUUGUAAACCUCUUUCAGCAGGGACGAAGUUGACGUGUACCUGCAGAAGAAGCGCCGGCUAACUACGUGCCAGCAGCCGCGGUAAUACGUAGGGCGCAAGCGUUGUCCGGAAUUAUUGGGCGUAAAGAGCUCGUAGGUGGCUGGUCGCGUCUGCCGUGAAAGCCCGCAGCUUAACUGCGGGUCUGCGGUGGAUACGGGCCGGCUAGAGGUAGGUAGGGGCAAGUGGAAUUCCUGGUGUAGCGGUGAAAUGCGCAGAUAUCAGGAGGAACACCGGUGGCGAAGGCGGCUUGCUGGGCCUUACCUGACGCUGAGGAGCGAAAGCGUGGGGAGCGAACAGGAUUAGAUACCCUGGUAGUCCACGCUGUAAACGUUGGGCGCUAGGUGUGGGGAUCUUCCACGAUCUCCGUGCCGGAGCUAACGCAUUAAGCGCCCCGCCUGGGGAGUACGGCCGCAAGGCUAAAACUCAAAGGAAUUGACGGGGGCCCGCACAAGCGGCGGAGCAUGUUGCUUAAUUCGACGCAACGCGAAGAACCUUACCAAGGUUUGACAUCACCCGGAAAGCUUCAGAGAUGGAGCCCUCUUCGGACUGGGUGACAGGUGGUGCAUGGCUGUCGUCAGCU